AGAUAUCUAAAGGUGAUUUUUUUUUUCAACACCCAUUUAAAUGUGUGUGGUAAUGGGGGAAAAACACCUGUACUGUAAAAACAUCAAUGCGAAUGACAUUUAUUAAUGUAUUCUUAGAUCAUAAGGAUCCUUAGAGAACAAAUGGAGAGCCUGAAUAUGACCAGAAAUGAGCUGGGUGUGGAUGACGACACACUGCAGCAAUGGGUGGCCGAUGUGCAGAAAUGGGCUGAAAAAACUGAUCAAACUGAUGGCAGCCUUGGAGCGUUGCAGGCACGACUAGAGGAGCUUGUCGUCAUCAUCAGAGUGCGAACACAAAGUCUUUACAGACAAAAUGAUAGCAACAAGAGGCGACACAGAAUUCGCAAGGUCAUCUUAGUUGAGAAGAAACGCUUGGCGGCUGCUGUUGACGACUACAACAAGCUUGCUGAACCAACAAAGCAAAUCGUAUCCAGUGAUGCCCUCAUCCAGACCGAUAUUUGGCUCUGGCAGAGCACAAGUGAACCUGCUGCUGAACUCCAGACAAAGAGAAAGGUCUUUGAGAAGGUGAUGGCUGUGAGGCGCCUGAGAGAGGAGGAGAUGAUCCUUUGCAGGGAGAUGCUGCAUCACUGGACAGUGUUGCAAAUGCGAUCUGUGGUGUUGGGGACAAUCUCCUCAGACUCCUCCCUUGUUGGCAUGUCAGAGGAUGCACAGAAGGGACUCCGUAGCCUGGUUUAAAAAAACAAAGUGAACUGAAAGCUGAAAUGCUCAAAGUAAAGGACAUGUACAAGAGAAUCCUCAGCCACCAACCACUCCUGGAAAUGGACUCGGAGGAGGAGGAAGACAUUCCAGACGAUGCCACUGAGAGUGAUUUGAGCACUUCUGAUGAAGACUGAUUGUGUCAUCAUUGAUGUUAUUUUUGGUAAAAUAAAAAGUUAAUCACAUCUCUGUUUAAUGUGAUUUUUCAACAGACAUUUUACAUUUUGAGAAGAAAAAUGGAAUUUCCUUGGUGCAGUUGUUUACCCAUAAUCAUGCUUUCCCAUGUAAUUUAAUGACUAGUGUACAUGUUCAG
Molecule: long non-coding RNA, 1048 nt
Organism: Oreochromis aureus
Lineage: Eukaryota; Metazoa; Chordata; Actinopteri; Cichliformes; Cichlidae
Source: Ensembl